Long non-coding RNA from Lagopus muta (rock ptarmigan), 1816 nucleotides. RefSeq lists it as uncharacterized. The record is from RefSeq and is a predicted model, not a curated record. The transcript has 3 exons. Lineage: Eukaryota; Metazoa; Chordata; Aves; Galliformes; Phasianidae.
UAGAGUAACUCUCUCAAACCAGUCUUGCAAGUUGCCUGAAAUGCUAGCCUGUGUGUUUUACCUUGCCCUGACACUGUCAGCAUCAGCAUCUGGCAAAUUACUUGUAAGCUUUCUUUUUGUGCAAUUUACACAUUAUCACAAGAAGUCACCAAUUUCAUUUCUUCCAUUGCUCUGUUGGUCAGCGUAAAUAGAAACACAAAGUGUAAAUCUCUAUGUUUCUUGUACCUGUGCUGAAAGGAGCAGUUAUAGAUGUGUAUCACCUAAUCUGAAACCAACAGUGUGGUCCAUAGCACCAGGGAGCUAAAGCAGUGACAGCUGUGCUCAGAUGAAGAUUUUUUUUUACUACAGUAGGUUAACUAGGUACCUUAUUAGAGGUAGUGGGGCAUAUAACGUACUGUCAUUGUGCUUCAUGCUCUCUUAGGAUGAUUUGCAAAGCAGCAAGUCAUGUUAAUACUGCAUAAAGAUUUUGGGAAGUUAGCACCAUGUAUGUUGUAGCAUGCUUAUUGUGUUAGCUCCAGCUAAAAUGGGUAUUGGAGAAUAUCUCAGUGGAGAAAAAGAUGCUGAUACAGACAUACUCUGCAGUAAAAUAAUGGAAUCAGCCAAUCUUCUGAAGAAAACUUAGCUAAAAAUACGUAUUCUGUUGGUGGUGGUUGACUUUUCAAUUACAUCAGACCCUGGAAACAGGGCAAAUUUAGUUGGUAUUAAAAGAAAGUAGAUAAUCUCUUUGGUAAUAGGAGCUGUGCUGUGAAUUACUUCAAAUCGCAACUGAAGAUUAUUCAGACCUGAAGUUUGAUUUUUCCUCAUGUUUACUCUGGCUGUAUGGACACAGAGAGAGUAUGGAGGGAACAGAAAUCACCCAGUACGUAUUGAAAAACAGCCAGUUUUUCUGUUAUCAUUUGUGGAACCUUUGCUGGAGUGCAGAAUGGAAAAGUGUAAAAUGAGCGUAAGACUUGCAGACUUUACCCUCAUCCCAAGCAGGAAUGAAAUCCACAGCUUUGAAAAGUCUACUUAGAAGAAAGUUAUGGAAAAAAAAAUCAUUUGUUUCACAGUUUCAUAGAAUGGCAGGGGUUGGAAGGGAUCUCUUGAGAUCACUGAGCGCAACUUGGUGCUAAAGCAGCUUCCUUACAGCCGGUCACCCAGGAAAGCGUCCAGGAAGAUCUUGAAUAUCUCCAGAGGAGAUUCCACAGCCUCUCUGGGCAGCCUGUUCCACUGCUCUUUCACCCUCAAAGUAAAGAAGUUACUUUCUCAUGUUCACAUGGAACUUCCUUUGUUCCAGUUUGUGCCUGUUGCCCCUUGUCCUGCACCUGGGCACCACUGAAAAGAGCCUGGCCCCAUCCACUUGACUCCUGCCCGUUAGAUAUUUUAUCUUCAUUUUGGCUUUCCCAAAAACUUAACGCUUAUACGGAACUCCUGGGAUGGGCCAGGCCAUGCAUGUUACUUCUUAUCUAAGGUAAAAGUUGAAACUUGUAAAAGCAUGUAUUGUCAACUAGUGUCAAGCAUAACCAUGGUUUAUAUGAAGAAAAAUUUUCUAGAGAACUUUUAUGGGAAAAGAAAGCAGCCCAAGCAAAGAGGCAUUUUAUUUUUCACCACCCCCUCAUUUUUUCUUCUUCCUCCACCUUUCUUCUCUUGCAGAAUGUCUCAGAUGUUUGGAGAGAUAACCACAGCUAGUGGGCACAUGGCCACAAUUUCCUCCAUAAUGAGUCUCCAAGCAUUAUCUGAUCAGGAGGAAUCUCAGGUUCUCUCCGUCCUGGGAAACGCUGACACAGUUGAGGCAACUCACCAUCGCUUCCGCAUGCAUGCAGGUUUUGGAGGGGAG